This is a non-coding RNA of Triticum aestivum (bread wheat), 115 nucleotides long. The record is from Rfam. NCBI's taxonomy places the organism in Eukaryota, Viridiplantae, Streptophyta, Magnoliopsida, Poales, Poaceae.
UUUGUACUCCCUCCGUUUGGAAUUACUUGUCUCAGAAAUGGAUGUAUGUAGAACUAAAAUAUGUCUAGAUACAUCCAUUUCUGCGACAAGUAAUUCCGAACGGAGGGAGUACUCA